Molecule: unclassified non-coding RNA, 363 nt
Filed under: Hevea brasiliensis (rubber tree)
Lineage: Eukaryota; Viridiplantae; Streptophyta; Magnoliopsida; Malpighiales; Euphorbiaceae
Source: RNAcentral
AAAAGGAAGAUUUUAUUAAAAGUUCUAACAAUAUGUACAUUGGGACGUUUUGAAUUUCUAUGGACUCGUAUAUUCAACCAACAUAGAAACAGAAGCUUCAGAAUACAUCUUCCCAUUGGGAACGAGUCGUCUGACUCGGUCCCAAACCCGAGUUAACUCGGUGAAGUUCCAUCUUCCUUCUUCAGCCACAGCAGCUCGAACCGGGCCGUCAGCGGCGGCAGCGGUGGGGAAGGAGCCACCUUCGCGGCGGAGUUUUGCCUGCUCGGAAGUCCAGAGGUCUACAAGGCCAGACAUGGAGGAGUAGUAGAAUUUAGAGCAAGAGGAAAAAAGAAAUAUUUUUGCAAUGAUGGAAAACAGAGGAAU